ACGAGUAUGCCGAAAUUGGUAGCCGGGUGGGUUUUAGGCACUCAUAAAAAAUUUGUUUUGUAAGAGUUCAAGUCUCUUUACUCGUA
RNAcentral lists this transfer RNA (86 nucleotides) under Agaricus bitorquis. RNAcentral describes it as "tRNA-Leu". It matches the Rfam family "tRNA". From Rfam's summary of the family: Transfer RNA (tRNA) molecules are approximately 80 nucleotides in length. Their secondary structure includes four short double-helical elements and three loops (D, anti-codon, and T loops). Further hydrogen bonds mediate the characteristic L-shaped molecular structure. tRNAs have two regions of fundamental functional importance: the anti-codon, which is responsible for specific mRNA codon recognition, and the 3' end, to which the tRNAs corresponding amino acid is attached (by aminoacyl-tRNA synthetases). tRNAs cope with the degeneracy of the genetic code in two manners: having more than one tRNA (with a specific anti-codon) for a particular amino acid; and 'wobble' base-pairing, i.e. permitting non-standard base-pairing at the 3rd anti-codon position. The record is from RNAcentral. RNAcentral also lists the same sequence under 1 other name. Lineage: Eukaryota; Fungi; Basidiomycota; Agaricomycetes; Agaricales; Agaricaceae.